CUACGGGCGGCUGCAGUGGGGAAUAUUGCACAAUGGGCGCAAGCCUGAUGCAGCCAUGCCGCGUGUAUGAAGAAGGCCUUCGGGUUGUAAAGUACUUUCAGCGGGGAGGAAGGGAGUAAAGUUAAUACCUUUGCUCAUUGACGUUACCCGCAGAAGAAGCACCGGCUAACUCCGUGCCAGCAGCCGCGGUAAUACGGAGGGUGCAAUCGUUAAUCGGAAUUACUGGGCGUAAAGCGCACGCAGGCGGUUUGUUAAGUCAGAUGUGAAAUCCCCGGGCUCAACCUGGGAACUGCAUCUGAUACUGGCAAGCGUGAGUCUCGUAGAGGGGGGUAGAAUUCCAGGUGUAGCGGUGAAAUGCGUAGAGAUCUGGAGGAAUACCGGUGGCGAAGGCGGCCCCCUGGACGAAGACUGACGCUCAGGUGCGAAAGCGUGGGGAGCAAACAGGAUUAGAUACCCGGGUAGUC
RNAcentral lists this ribosomal RNA (464 nucleotides) under uncultured bacterium. Its description in RNAcentral is "partial 16S ribosomal RNA". It matches the Rfam family "Bacterial small subunit ribosomal RNA", at positions 339 to 795 of the family's 1533-position model. The record is from RNAcentral.